RNAcentral lists this ribosomal RNA (301 nucleotides) under uncultured bacterium. RNAcentral describes it as "partial 16S ribosomal RNA". It matches the Rfam family "Bacterial small subunit ribosomal RNA", at positions 509 to 807 of the family's 1533-position model. The record is from RNAcentral.
CAGCAGCCGCGGUAAUACGAAGGGGGCUAGCGUUGCUCGGAAUGACUGGGCGUAAAGGGCGCGUAGGCGGCGGCCAAAGUCAGGCGUGAAAUUCCCGGGCUCAACCUGGGGGCUGCGUUUGAUACUGGGAGUCUUGAGUUCGAGAGAGGUGAGUGGAAUUGCGAGUGUAGAGGUGAAAUUCGUAGAUGUUCGCAGGAACACCAGUGGCGAAGGCGGCUCACUGGCUCGAUACUGACGCUGAGGUGCGAAAGCGUGGGGAGCAAACAGGAUUAGAUACCCCCGUAGUCCCUGUCUCUUAUAC